CUCACCUUAACCUUACUUACAGUAAGAAAUCAAGAUUCAAGGACUCCAGGGCUCAAGGGUGUGAAAAUGAACUAUUCUCCAGGACCAGUAAUUAUACUAUUCUUAGCGUUUGGAAGAAACAAUGGAAAUUUGGUGACCCAGACAAAAGGCCAAAUGACUCUUUCUGAAGGGACUUCCCUGACUAUGAACUGUUCCUAUGACAGGACACAAUAUCCUUCCUUACACUGGUAUGUGCAGUACCCUGGAGAGGGGCCACAGCUCCUCCUCAAAGCCACAAAGGACAAGGAGAAGGGAAGCAACAAAGGCUUUGAAGCCACGUACGAUAAAGCCGCCAGCUCCUUCCACUUGGAGAAAGCCUCAGUGGAAGCGUCAGACUCGGCUGUGUACUACUGCGCACUGGGUGACACAGUGGCAGGAACUGCAGGGGGAGCCGAGCACAAACUCUAAACAUCAAGAAAAGGUCAGAGGUUGCUGAGGAGCUGCCUAGGGGAUUGCUCUUGUUUAGGGAGGAGGAACUAGUCUACUGUUGUUGCUACUCACUACCCCCACCCCCAAGAACUGUUGUGGUGGAAAAGUCAUCCAGAUCAAUUAGAAGAACAUAGCAGCACAAGAGGUACAUGUGCCUCACACAAGACACUUCAGUGAAGGGAAGGAAAACAGUCUGUCACCAUAGUUCCCUAACCUUACCUGAAA
Chinchilla lanigera (long-tailed chinchilla) is the source of this 693-nucleotide non-coding RNA. The record is from the annotation of a RefSeq genome assembly. Lineage: Eukaryota; Metazoa; Chordata; Mammalia; Rodentia; Chinchillidae.